GACGAACGCUGGCGGCGUGCUUAACACAUGCAAGUCGAACGGAAAGGCCCUGAUUUUGUGGGGUGCUCGAGUGGCGAACGGGUGAGUAAAACGUGAGUAAACUGCCCUUGACUUUGGGAUAACUUCAGGAAACUGGGGCUCAUACCGGAUAGGAGCUCCUGCUGCAUGGGGGGGGUAGGAAAGAUUCGGCGGUUGGGGCUGGACUCGAGGCUUAUCCGCUGGAUGGUGGGGUAGUGACUGACCAAGGCUUUGACGGGUAGCCGGCCUGGGAGGGGGACCGGCCACAUGGGGACUGAGAUACGGCGCAGACGCCUACGGGAGGCAGCAGUGGGGAAUAUUGCACAGUGGGCGGAAGCCUGAUGCAGCAACGCCGCGUUCGGGAUGACGGCCUUCGGGGUGUAAACCGCUUUCGCCUGUGACGAAGCGUGAGUGACGGUAAUGGGUAAAGAAGCACCGGCUAACUACGUG
Molecule: ribosomal RNA, 468 nt
Filed under: uncultured bacterium
Lineage: Bacteria
Description: partial 16S ribosomal RNA
Rfam family: Bacterial small subunit ribosomal RNA
Source: RNAcentral